AGUGAACGCUGGCGGCAGGCCUAAUACAUGCAAGUCGAACGAAAGCACAGUAAGCGCUCGCCCUUACGGGUAGCGAGUGGCGGACGGGUGAGGCGUACAUCGGAAUCCUAUUUUUCGUGGGGAAUAUCGUGGGAACACUUACGCUACUACAGAAUACGUUCUACGGGUGAAUGCAGGGGUUCUUCGGACUUUGCGCGAUUCUUUUAGAUGGUGUCGGAUUAGCUAGUUGGCGUGGUAAAGGCACACCAAGGCGACGAUCCGUAGCUGAUCUGAGAGGAUGAUCAGCCACACUGGAACUGAGACACGGUCCAGACUCCUACGGGAGGCAGCAGUAGGGAAUAUUGGGCAAUGGGCGCAAGCCUGAUCCAGCAAUGCCGCGUGGGUGAAGAAGGUCUUCGGAUUGUAAAACCCUUUUAUUAGGAAAGAAAAGCAGCGGGUGAAUAUCCCGCUGUUCUGACGGUACCCAAACAGAAAGCACCGGCUAACUUCGUG
This 492-nucleotide ribosomal RNA is filed under the name uncultured bacterium. Its description in RNAcentral is "partial 16S ribosomal RNA". It matches the Rfam family "Bacterial small subunit ribosomal RNA", at positions 29 to 507 of the family's 1533-position model. The record is from RNAcentral.